GAGGUGAUUGGCACCAAUCCAAUUGAUUAUUUUUAAUCCAAUCACUUAGUGAAUUAAAACUUACUUUUAAUUUACCUUCUUCUUUGACGACUACAUUUAAUCAUCUAGAAGAACUCACAAGCCAUGAGUGACAUCUAACCAUAUAUCAUGGCUACCCAAGCUAAUGAAGAAUUUGUUCGGAGAACCUAUUCAGUUGGAAUUACAAUGUAAUUCGAUCCUUCUCUAAAACAAUACUCUCAAUCACAUUACUAGGGUAUGGAUAUUUUAUGUCAAACCCCUAAUGUGAUUAUUCCUUCUUAUAUGAUUCAUUUGAGUCGUAUAGGAACGCUUUCCUUUAUUACGCUCGAUACUUCGGCCGAAGAUUCCCGAAUCAUAUCUUAGAGUAUUCAUCCGCUCUUAACGAGGAUUAGAGAUCCCUUGUUGCGCAUUCACUUGCCUCCAUGAUUAAAUGGCUUAACCCCGACUAUGCCGUGGACACUCGCAGAUGGAGUGACUUUGACAUAAUCAAAGAUCAAGUACCUAACCACAAGACAACUAUGAUGCCUCAGGUCAAAGGACUACUUACAUUAUUCCAACCAUUAGAGUUACUUGCUUGACAUGUGAGUAGACCUCCAUGCAAGUACUCUCGUUCGAUUGUGUUCAGUGAGCUCAUUCCCUUAAUGAGCACCUACAUACCUGUCUUAGUGUCAUUACACGAAUGGGACGAGACUUUCCAUCCUUCCAAUUGAAGGGGACAUAGUAUGUACUGGUCUUUGCAUUGUCAGCAUCCCUUUGACAAUCAUAUGACCAGGAACCUUUUUGGACAUGAUGGUUAUGUGAAGAAGGUCUCUGUAGUCUAACAUCAUUAGAUUACUUCUUCCAUCGAUCCAUUGUCCAUGGAUUCACUAUUUAGGACAUAUAUCGUUUAUUGAGAUAGUCCUAAUUAGUAUCUUUGCCUUUUGAUGUAUAAGAGUCAUCUAUACACCCAUUCAUUGUCCUGAAAGGUUUCUUCCAAAGAUUGACUUUUAAGGCAUAUUUCCAACACCAAUUGGAUAGUAGACAUGAAAAAACUAUCAAUUAAACAAUGUGAUUAAGAGUAUUGUAUUAGAGAAUGACCGUAUUGCAUUGUAGUUGUAACUGGAUAGGCUCUCCAACCACUUCUACUACUUGGGUAGCCAUGACAUACUACUAGGUGUCACUCAUGGUUUAUGGAAGCCCUGAAGGUUAGCAAACACUAAUCUUCAUCAAAGGGAGAAUUGAAAUGUGGUUUCAAUUCACAAUCGAUCGUUAUGAGUAACAAUCGCCCACUGCCUCACUAAAUGGAACCUAAUGGAUCAUACACCAAGUAAGGAUGAAUGUGGAGAAAUAUAAAUGAAAUGGAUAAGCAAUUAAACAGUUUAAUUGAGAAUGGUAAAGAUUAAUUAAUUAGUUAAUUAAUUAUGUGAAAGGUUCGUAUUAGGCUUUUAAGUUAGUUUCGGGUUACAGAACCCAAAAGGGUUUUUGGUUCAUAAGACCCAUUGAGUUUAAGCUUUAUGACAACUAAUCUAAAUGGGAAAUUAGCCCAAUACAAAGCCAAAACUGGCCAAACUAAAGAGAGGGUGAACUUGGCUUAGUUGCAAGUUUUUCACUCACUUGUGAGGUGGUAGAAAAGCAUCUUUAUAACCAUUCUCUCACUAGGGUUUUCUUGAGGUAAAGAAGAGAAACUUUUUCUCUCUGUCUCUCUAUAAAGGCUGGCAUUCCUAGGGGAGUUCACUAGCAUCCAUCUUCCUCUAGAUAAUCCCUUUCAUCUUCACACCAUCAUCAUUGGUGUGGAGACUUAGAGGUACCAAACCUUUGGUACUUUUGUAGAUCAUUUCCUCACAUCUUCUGUCACAUCCCGGCCCAGGGGUGACGAAGCCAACACAGCUCAAUUCAGAGUCCUAGUGGACAUUCCGGGUCGGGGUGUGUCAUCUUCAAGAAGCAAAGGAACAAAGAUUCAAGGAGCAAAGAGCCAAGAAGAAAGGAAAGAGCCAAGGAGCAAGGAGGUGACUUGAAGGCCCUCCACUUGGGUGAAUCCCUUGUGUAAACAAGGAUAAGAAAAGCUCAAGUUUCUCUUUCUUUUGUAAAGAGUCUUUAGGUUCACCAUAUACUAGGCUUUGAAUUUCUUUGGGUCAAAGAAUUGUUUUGAAUGCAUGCCUACUUGAAGAUUUAUUUGUAUGCUUGUAUGUUCAAAUAUUCUCACAUGUUCUUAGUGUUGAGUAUUAAAGUUGCUUCUUUGUAAAUGAACCAGUGUAUCACCUUAAUCUAAUCUUUUGCUAUUCUCUAUGUUGUUUUGCAUCUUGCUGGAUGUAUCUAGAACUAUCUAAUGCCUAGUCUUUUGGGGUCUUGACAAUUGUAGUUAGACAUUAAAUAGGAAGGUUGAUUAAGAGUCCCUUGUACGCUUCUCUUAUAUAUAGUGUAUCUUUUGCAACAACCUUUAUUUUUUAGUUCUUUUUUCUGAUUUGAUCCUUUCACAAUUUGGUGUUUGAUCAUGGGCUAGAGUAAUCUCCGUUAAUUUGUUUAGUUUCUCAUGGUACCAAAACCAUAAGGGUGGUAGCUGGUUUUCUGUUUAAAUCCGUGAAGAGAUCAACCAUUUUUUUUCUCAAAAUGGAGUCUACGAGUCGUGUUGCUGGCCUCGACAUAGAGCUGCUUAAUCAAUUGAGCCACAAGAUUUAGAGAUGUUGUAUGGAGUUUUUUAUCUGAUUAGAGAAGAUCUGUGGGAUGUUGUUGGUGGUGCGUAUACAACCAAACCCGAAGAACGUGAAGAUAAUGCUAAAGAUUUGAAAUGGUGGAUAAUGACUAAUGGGAAGGCUGAGUUUGUGUUGAAGAGAUCCAUUUCUCAUGGUCUAUUUGACCAUAUUAUCAAGUGUAAGGCAACAAAUGACAUAUGGGAGACUCUUAACAGGUUGUUUGACAAGAAAGAUAUUGGGAGACUACAAAUGUUGGAGAAUGAAUUGGCAAAUACCACCCAAGGUGAUCUGUCCAUUUCUCAAUUAUGUGUUUUGAGAUUUCUCUUUUAGACCCAGACGAACCAGUGUCUGAAGCACGAAUCCGACGACAUAUUGUUCAUGGAUUGAAAAAGGAAUACACUCUUUUUGUAACUUCUAUUCAAGGAUGGGAUAUCAACAACUAUCUUUAGAAGAAUUUGAGAAUCUUUUGUUGUGUCAAGAAACAUCAGCUCAUCAAAUGGCUGGGAUGUUUGUGGAUGCAAAUUUUCGUCGUCUUCUCAUUUUGACGAAAAUGCACCUACAAAAUAAUAACACCUAAGAUUAAGGCCAAAUACCUCACGUGCCCACGAUGAAGGGGGGGGGCUUUGGCCGAAGAAUCUCUGAUGCCAAAGUUAGAAUUUUGAAAAGAAUGUUUAGGAGUUUAUGGGUUGCAAAAUGGCUUAGCAUUUUAGUGGGAUAAGAAAGGUAUUUAUAGGAGAGUGGACGACUCUUUGGAUGGAGAGUGGCCGACCAUAUAUGGUGUAAUUGGGUGAACAAUUGCAAGAUAUUAUGUGAAAUAAUAUCUUGCAAUUAACAUGGCAAUUAUUCAUUCAUUAAAUAUGAAGUUUUGGGAGUUACCUUUUGAAUAAAAUCAAUAAGGGAUUGAUGAGAAGUGAUGAGAGGGAUUUGAAUAAUAACCAUAUUGAUCACCUUUGAAUCUUUCUUGACAUUAUUGUCUGUUGCAUGUGUGUGGGAAUCCCGGUGUGCCUCGAGGGUAAUUUCGUCAUUCUUACCCAAAAGUCCUCACGUCACCUCCAUAAUUGUUUGGAUUAUUUUUGGCUCUACAAAUUGUCACAGCCCAUCUCGAAAGAUAUUCUCUGAUGGUGUGAAAUGUCUAAUUUACCCUUAAAAGUUUGUGGUGUUGUGUGGUUUAAGUUGUGUUGUGGACCAAUUAUUUUCUUUCCUAAGUAUUUGGACCCAAUUAGUGAAGGAAAUUUUGUGAAAAACAUGUUCAUUUGAGCAACAUCUAUAUAGCAUGCAAUUAACAAUUAAAGGCGGAAUCAUGCUUGCAUGCACUCAAAACAAAACAUCACCCAUGAAAUUCAAAGCCUAGUAGUUAGGUGAACCAAGACUCAACUCAAAACAAAGUGAGUUGAGAAAUUUAUACCUUUGUUGAUUCCUCUUUGCAUAAGCAAAGGAUAAUCACCCAAGAGAUAGGGCCUUCAUUCCUUGCUUCUUAUCUCCAUGGAUUUGGAUGGAAGAAUUGGUUUCUCCAAGUUCUCAAAGUUGAAAACCUCUAAGUCUCCACACCAAGGAAAGAUUGAUGAAGAAAUGAGUGACCUAGAGGAAGUAAGAUUGCUAGCUAAAUUCCUCUAGGGUGGCCGGCCUCUUAGAGAGAAAAGAGAGCUUGUGUUCUCAUCUUUUCUCCAAAAGAAACCCUAAAUGAAUUUUGGCUAUAAAGUCAUAUUUAUACCUACAUUCAUUGGAGUGGCAAACUUGUAAUAAGUCCAAAACCCACUCCUUUAUCAAUAUGGCCGGCCAUAGGGUUUUAUUGGGCUAUUUGGGCCUUUGUGAAUUAUUAGUCAUUAAGUUGUCAAACAACUUAAGUCAAUGGGCUUGACGUUCGAAGCCCAUUGGGCCUUGAGGCCCAAAACUAACCCGAGGUCUUUAACGAACUUUAUUUGUUUGAUUAAUUAAUCAUAUUAAUUAAUCCUUGCCAUAAAUAAUUAAACCAUUUAAUUAUCCUUACUCAUCUCCUUGUUUCUUCAAUCUCUACCUUACACGGUGUACGAUCCAUUAGGUUCCUUUUAGCGAGGCAGUGGGCGAUUAGAACUCUUUCAAAUUGAUUGUGAAUUGAAACUUACUUUCAAUUCUCCCUUUAGUGAUUAUACACGUUUAAGGCUUCCACAAACCAUGAGUGACACGUAGCAGUAUGUCAUGGUUACCCAAGCUAAUCAGAAGAGGUGGAGAACCUAUUCACUUUAGGAUUACAAUGCAAUACGGUCUUUCUCUAAUACAAUACUUUUGAUCACAUUGUUUGGUUUGAUAGUUUAUUCAUGUCUACUAUCCAAUGUGAUUCAUUUACUUAUAUGAUUACCUUGAAUGUCAUUUGGAACGACUUCCUAAAUCUCAUUCAUACUCUAGCUAGAGAUUCUUAAUCAUAUCAUAGAGUAUUCUCCCUCAAACGGUUUGAAGGUUAGAGAUCCCUUGUUGCGCAUUCACUUGCCUCCAUGGCUAAGUGGCGUAACCCCAACUAUGCCGUGGACACUCGCGAAUGGAGUGACUUUGACAUAAUCAAAGAUUAAGGACCUAACCACAAAACAAUUAUGAUGCCUCAGGUCAAAAGACUACUUUGCAUUAUCCCAACCAUGAGUUCUCAUGUGACAUGAGUAUGAGAACUCUUCAUUGAUCAUGGUGUCAAUCACACCAAUGACUCGAGACCAGUCACUCUCCAUGAGAGAAGACACAACACGUACUGAUCUUAAUGGACUGUCAAUGCCCAAUUGGCAAUCCUAUGAUCAAGAACGUUUAAGAUAUGUAUACGAAAGAGAAUGGUCUCAUAAAUCUAACUUGUUUAAAUUACAUUCUCCUAAUUACAUAUUCCUUGGACUUAUCGUUUAAGCAUAUAACAUUUAUAUGAGACGGCUUAAAACAAUAAUCUUUUCCCUUGACAUUAAACCAGAUUAGUUUAACAUGUGAAAUGUCCGUAAAGUAUCAUCAUAUGAUUGGUUUUAGGGUACAUUUCCAACAAUCUCCCACUUGCACUAGAGCCAAUCAACUUGGUCAUCAGUGAUGAUACCUCUUCUUUAGUCAUUUCAAAAAUGGCUGUGUAGUAGGCCUAGACAAUGGAUAUCUAUAUGUUAUCCAUAGAAGCAACCUUGAGAAUAACGACGUCACCAUUAUACAUGAUUCUCAAUCAUGUGGUUCAGUCUCUCAUUUGAGUUUAGAUCUUGAUGAGACCUUGAUUCCCUGGCUUGAGCUAUCGCGCCAUUAGUGUCGGUACACUAGAGACACUUUCUGGUUGGAACCGAAUAGAGAGUUCAUAAAUGAACUUUCCCAUCCAAACAACAUUGUUGUAAGCUUCUAUAUGGCAAUAUAUUUUGCAUUCAUAAUGGAACACACUAAAGUCAUUACUUUUAAUGUUUCCAUCCAAAUAUCUCUUUAGUCAUAAUAAAGAGAUAUCUGAUUUUCUCUUCAUUCAUAAUGAAGAAACAUCCAAUGAUGGAUUAGAUUCAUAAUCUAAUACAUUUACGCAUCCUUUACGUUACUCUAAUUCUUCCUCAUUCUUUGAGGAAUCUAUCCUUCAGUAUUUCUUAAAUACUUAAGGACUCACUUGACAGUUGCCAUGGUUUUGAUCCUGGGCUUGCAUUGAUAUUGUCUUGUACCGAUCUAGGUACAAUUCAUAUCAAUGUUUUUCAUACAAUAUGAAAUACGUAAAUCACCUUUCUGCGUAUGCAUAAAGGAUUCUAUUUAUGCAUUAUGUUUCUUUAGGAGUCAAAAGGGUACGUUUGAGAAGAGCUACCUCCUAGUCUUACUAGAGUUGUUCUUCUGAUUGAAGUUUAUCAUCAUAUGAGAAACUUCCUAGCAUCUUUUGUCUAUCAUUAGGGAUUGAUAUAAUCCAAUUAUAUCUUGAAAUCUAUUAUUGUAGAUUUCCAUCCCAUGUAUAUAGACUAUGUCUCCCAUAUCCAUUCUAUCAUUAUAGAAUGUUUAAAGUCAUAACUUUAACGAAGAAGUAUUCUUUUCAUUUCCAAAAUUAAUAUAUCAUAUAUGUGUAUAUAUAUAUAUAUAUAUAUAUAUAUAUUUAAAUUUAGGAACUUGAUUAACUCCCACUAAUCUUUUGUAAACCUAGUAAACAAAAGAUUCAUUUACAUCUUUAUGAGAAAUCAAACAAUUUGAUCUUUCUCUCAUAAGACGUUUAUAGCUCCCACUAGCUUGCUAAGAUCCAUGAUGGAUGG
Molecule: long non-coding RNA, 6880 nt
Filed under: Malus domestica (apple)
Lineage: Eukaryota; Viridiplantae; Streptophyta; Magnoliopsida; Rosales; Rosaceae
Description: long non-coding RNA (MDOM_LNC018479)
Source: RNAcentral